UAGGGAAUCUUCGGCAAUGGACGAAAGUCUGACCGAGCAACGCCGCGUGAGUGAAGAAGGUUUUCGGAUCGUAAAACUCUGUUGUUAGAGAAGAACAAGGACGUUAGUAACUGAACGUCCCCUGACGGUAUCUAACCAGAAAGCCACGGCUAACUACGUGCCAGCAGCCGCGGUAAUACGUAGGUGGCAAGCGUUGUCCGGAUUUAUUGGGCGUAAAGGGAGCGCAGGCGGUUUCUUAAGUCUGAUGUGAAAGCCCCCGGCUCAACCGGGGAGGGUCAGUGGAAACUGGGAGACUUGAGUGCAGAAGAGGUGAGUGGAAGUCCAUGUGUAGCGGUGAAAUGCGUAGAUAUAUGGAGGAACACCAGUGGCGAAGGCGGCUCUCUGGUCUGUAACUGACGCUGAGGCUCGAAAGCGUGGGGAGCAAACAGG
This 429-nucleotide ribosomal RNA is filed under the name Gemmatimonadota bacterium. RNAcentral describes it as "Gemmatimonadetes bacterium partial 16S ribosomal RNA". It matches the Rfam family "Bacterial small subunit ribosomal RNA", at positions 355 to 776 of the family's 1533-position model. Lineage: Bacteria; Pseudomonadati; Gemmatimonadota. The record is from RNAcentral.